GUGCGGCCUGAAAAAUAGGGCUGCGCCUUUGUACACAAUGACAAUAAUUUACGGCGCAGCCACGAUUUCCCUGGUGUUGGCGCAGUAUUCGCGCACCCCGGUCAAGCC
RNAcentral lists this small RNA (108 nucleotides) under Citrobacter youngae ATCC 29220. Its description in RNAcentral is "SraH RNA". It matches the Rfam family "ArcZ RNA". From Rfam's summary of the family: This RNA was discovered in E. coli during a large scale screen. SraH expression is highly abundant in stationary phase, but low levels could be detected in exponentially growing cells as well. Lineage: Bacteria; Pseudomonadati; Pseudomonadota; Gammaproteobacteria; Enterobacterales; Enterobacteriaceae. The record is from RNAcentral.